GAUGAAGAACGUAGCGAAAUGCGAUAAGUAAUGCGAAUUGCAGAAUUUCCGUGAAUCAUCGAAUCUUUGAACGCACAUUGCGCCCCCUGGUAUUCCGGGGGGCAUGCCUGUCCGAGCGUCAUUACAACCCUCAAGCUCAGCUUGGUGUUGGGCCCCGACGCCCCGGCGGGCCCUAAAGUCAGUGGCGGUGCCGUCCGGCUCCGAGCGUAGUAAUUCUUCUCGCUCUGGAGGUCCGGUCGUGUGCUCGCCAGCAACCCCCAAUUUUUUUCAGGUUGACCUCGGAUCAGGUAGGGAUACCCGCUGAACUUAAGCAUAUCAAUAAGCGGAGGA
This 330-nucleotide unclassified non-coding RNA is filed under the name soil metagenome. Its description in RNAcentral is "partial contains 5.8S ribosomal RNA, internal transcribed spacer 2, and large subunit ribosomal RNA". The stretch from base 1 to 121 matches the Rfam family "5.8S ribosomal RNA", at positions 35 to 154 of the family's 154-position model. The record is from RNAcentral.